AUUGAACGCUGGCGGAAUGCUUUACACAUGCAAGUCGAACGGCAGCACGGACUUCGGUCUGGUGGCGAGUGGCGAACGGGUGAGUAAUGUAUCGGAACGUGCCCAGUCGUGGGGGAUAACGUAGUGAAAAUUACGCUAAUACCGCAUACGAUCUAUGGAUGAAAGCGGGGGAUCGCAAGACCUCGCGCGAUUGGAGCGGCCGAGAUCCGAUUAGGUAGUUGGUGGGCUAAACGCCCACCAAGCCAACGAUCUGUAGCUGGUCUGAGAGGACGACCAGCCACACUGGAACAGAGACACGGUCCAGACUCCUACGGGAGGCAGCAGUGGGGAAUUUUGGACAAUGGGCGAAAGCCUGAUCCAGCCAUUCCGCGUGCAGGAUGAAGGCCCUCGGGUUGUAAACUGCUUUUGUACAGAACGAAAAGGUUUCUACUAAUACUAGGAGCUCAUGACGGUACUGUAAGAAUAAGCACCGGCUAACUACGUGCCAGCAGCCGCCGUAA
This 500-nucleotide ribosomal RNA is filed under the name uncultured bacterium. Its description in RNAcentral is "partial 16S ribosomal RNA". It matches the Rfam family "Bacterial small subunit ribosomal RNA", at positions 30 to 523 of the family's 1533-position model. The record is from RNAcentral.